GUACUCACUGCAGCACAUAUGCUAAAAGUGGAACUUUACAGAGAUUAGCAUGGCUCCUGUGCAAGGAUGACACGCAAAUUCGUGAAGCGUUCCAUAUGUAA
This 101-nucleotide small nuclear RNA is filed under the name Myotis davidii. The record is from RNAcentral. Lineage: Eukaryota; Metazoa; Chordata; Mammalia; Chiroptera; Vespertilionidae.